RNAcentral lists this ribosomal RNA (201 nucleotides) under uncultured bacterium. RNAcentral's name for it is "partial 16S ribosomal RNA". It matches the Rfam family "Bacterial small subunit ribosomal RNA", at positions 1300 to 1500 of the family's 1533-position model. The record is from RNAcentral.
GCAGGCUGCAACCCGCCUGCGUGAAGUCGGAAUCGCUAGUAAUCGCGGAUCAGCAUGCCGCGGUGAAUACGUUCCCGGGCCUUGUACACACCGCCCGUCACACCAUGAGAGUCGGGAACACCCGAAGUCCGUAGCCUAACCGAAAGGAGGGCGCGGCCGAAGGUGGGUUCGAUAAUUGGGGUGAAGUCGUAACAAGGUAAC